AUACAUCACCCGAUGAUGAAGGAGUCGGGUUACUGAAUAAGAGUCGCGAGAGGACUAACAGUCACGAAUCUGAAAAACAGUAAAUGGAGACUGUCAGUCUCGAGAGUGAGUUAAAAUCAUAUAUCUAUAACAGUUUCAAAUAUCUCAAUGUCACCUUAUUUAAUUUUAAAAUAAUUAAUAAAUCACGUGAACCAUACGUGUCAUGUUAAAACAUAUAUGUCAUGCCAUGCUUAAACAAAAUUUAUUCCACAUGUAACGGGACGGAGUACUUCAGUAGAACUCUAAUCCCAACUCUAAAAUCUCGAUUAUUUCAACACUUAUGUCUCAACUAACCUCAACUCUAUCAUCUCAAACCUCUCAUUCCAACAGGACUGGCGCCCAGAGAGCAAAGCUCGACCAGGGACCUUACCUCCAGUCCGGUCACUUAACUCUCAGCCUUAGCCUUUCGGCUCUCUUAUCCAAUAAGACUGGCGCCCAGAGAGCUUAGCUCGACCAGGGACCUUACCUCCAGUCUGGUCACUUAAAUUUCCAAAUAAGCCGGCGCCCAGAGAGCAAUGCUCGACCAGGGACCUUUACUCCGGCAACCACACUCUACUAAGCCCAGAGAGCGAUGCUCGACUAGGGCAGGUCCUAAUCUUUCUUUCUUAAAAUUUUUACCUCUUUACCCUUUCCCUAUCUCUCUCAGAUUAUAUUGGGACACUCAUCCAACUCCUAUGUUCUACUGCCGUCCCAUCCUGAGUCAUCAUGCAAUAUUAAAAUUGGUAAUAAAGGAAAAACAUAUUUAAAUAGUAAUUAAAAGCAUCAUGCAAAUGAUAAUAAUAAUAAUUAAAUGAAAAAUUGAAAUUGCAAAUAAAUAUUCACAGUAGCAAAUAAAAUUUUAUGCAUGACACGUGCGUAAGCGAUAUAUGACUUUAACUCACAGGUUUGGCGACCUCCUAGCUCUGCUCCGGUGCCUCGGUAGGAGCGAGCCGAACGAACGGACAAUCGAGACGCUCGAUCGCUCGGUCGACUCGCCUCCGGCCGCCGGAGUCCGAUCGACGAUCCGAACACACCAUCGAACUCACAACGACGCGCUGAAG
This 1079-nucleotide long non-coding RNA is filed under the name Ricinus communis (castor bean). RNAcentral's name for it is "long non-coding RNA (RCOM_LNC000852)". Lineage: Eukaryota; Viridiplantae; Streptophyta; Magnoliopsida; Malpighiales; Euphorbiaceae. The record is from RNAcentral.